RNAcentral lists this ribosomal RNA (468 nucleotides) under uncultured bacterium. RNAcentral describes it as "partial 16S ribosomal RNA". It matches the Rfam family "Bacterial small subunit ribosomal RNA", at positions 28 to 507 of the family's 1533-position model. The record is from RNAcentral.
GACGAACGCUGGCGGCGUGCUUAACACAUGCAAGUCGAACGGAAAGGCCCUGCUUUUGUGGGGUGCUCGAGUGGCGAACGGGUGAGUAACACGUGAGUAACCUGCCCUUGACUUUGGGAUAACUUCAGGAAACUGGGGCUAAUACCGGAUAGGAGCUCCUGCUGCAUGGUGGGGGUUGGAAAGUUUCGGCGGUUGGGGAUGGACUCGCGGCUUAUCAGCUUGUUGGUGGGGUAGUGGCUUACCAAGGCUUUGACGGGUAGCCGGCCUGAGAGGGUGACCGGCCACAUGGGGACUGAGAUACGGCCCAGACUCCUACGGGAGGCAGCAGGGGGGAAUAUGGCAGAAUGGGCGGAAGCCUGAUGCAGCAACGCCGCGUGCGGGAUGACGGCCUUCGGGUGGUAAACCGCUUUCGCCUGUGACGAAGCGUGAGUGACGGUAAUGGGUAAAGAAGCACCGGCUAACUACGUG